UCACAAUGGUGGCACUCUGCCAAUGGA
RNAcentral lists this small RNA (27 nucleotides) under Bombyx mori (domestic silkworm). Its description in RNAcentral is "ovarian small RNA-24987". Lineage: Eukaryota; Metazoa; Arthropoda; Insecta; Lepidoptera; Bombycidae. The record is from RNAcentral.